RNAcentral lists this ribosomal RNA (803 nucleotides) under uncultured Burkholderia sp. Its description in RNAcentral is "bacterial SSU rRNA". It matches the Rfam family "Bacterial small subunit ribosomal RNA", at positions 563 to 1370 of the family's 1533-position model. Lineage: Bacteria; Pseudomonadati; Pseudomonadota; Betaproteobacteria; Burkholderiales; Burkholderiaceae. The record is from RNAcentral.
AAGCGUGCGCAGGCGGUCCGCUAAGACAGAUGUGAAAUCCCCGGGCUUAACCUGGGAACUGCAUUUGUGACUGGCGGGCUAGAGUAUGGCAGAGGGGGGUAGAAUUCCACGUGUAGCAGUGAAAUGCGUAGAGAUGUGGAGGAAUACCGAUGGCGAAGGCAGCCCCCUGGACCAAUACUGACGCUCAUGCACGAAAGCGUGGGGAGCAAACAGGAUUAGAUACCCAUGGUAGUCCACGCCCUAAACGAUGUCAACUAGUUGUCGGGUCUUCAUUGACUUGGUAACGUAGCUAACGCGUGAAGUUGACCGCCUGGGGAGUACGGUCGCAAGAUUAAAACUCAAAGGAAUUGACGGGGACCCGCACAAGCGGUGGAUGAUGUGGAUUAAUUCGAUGCAACGCGAAAAACCUUACCUACCCUUGACAUGUAUGGAAUCCUGCUGAGAGGUGGGAGUGCCCGAAAGGGAGCCAUAACACAGGUGCUGCAUGACUGUCGUCAGCUCGUGUCGUGAGAUGUUGGGUUAAGUCCCGCAACGAGCGCAACCCUUGUCCCUAGUUGCUACGCAAGAGCACUCUAGGGAGACUGCCGGUGACAAACCGGAGGAAGGUGGGGAUGACGUCAAGUCCUCAUGGCCCUUAUGGGUAGGGCUUCACACGUCAUACAAUGGUCGGAACAGAGGGUCGCCAACCCGCGAGGGGGAGCCAAUCCCAGAAAACCGAUCGUAGUCCGGAUCGCACUCUGCAACUCGAGUGCGUGAAGCUGGAAUCGCUAGUAAUCGCGGAUCAGCAUGCCGCGGUGAAUACG